GGCCUCCUGGCUCCUGGGAUUCACCAGUCUCCUCCUCAGCGUCUGCAGCACUGGGGUCAAGAGUUCUGGAGCACACAGUUUUGGAGGUCAGCAUUCUGGAGUUCACGUUUCUCUGAAGGGUAUCCGAGGAGGUUCUGUGUUGUUUCACGUGAUCAAGGAGCCAGGAACUGAGCUGGAGGAGAUUGUGUGGGGCUUUGGACCUGACUUAAAAUACACAGUCAUGCUGCGAGUCCGUAAUGGGUCA
Ceratotherium simum simum (southern white rhinoceros) is the source of this 244-nucleotide non-coding RNA. The record is from RefSeq and is a predicted model, not a curated record. Lineage: Eukaryota; Metazoa; Chordata; Mammalia; Perissodactyla; Rhinocerotidae.